Molecule: ribosomal RNA, 464 nt
Filed under: uncultured bacterium
Lineage: Bacteria
Description: partial 16S ribosomal RNA
Rfam family: Bacterial small subunit ribosomal RNA
Source: RNAcentral
GACGAACGCUGGCGGCGUGCUUAACACAUGCAAGUCGAACGGAAAGGCCCUGCUUGCAGGGUACUCGAGUGCGAACGGGUGAGUAACACGUGGGUGAUCUGCCCUGCACUUCGGGAUAAGCCUGGGAAACUGGGUCUAAUACCGGAUAGGAGCCAUUUUUAGUGUGAUGGUUGGAAAGUUUUUUCGGUGUAGGAUGAGCUCGCGGCCUAUCAGCUUGUUGGUGGGGUAAUGGCCUACCAAGGCGGCGACGGGUAGCCGGCCUGAGAGGGUGGACGGCCACAUUGGGACUGAGAUACGGCCCAGACUCCUACGGGAGGCAGCAGUGGGGAAUAUUGCACAAUGGGCGCAAGCCUGAUGCAGCGACGCCGCGUGGGGGAUGACGGCCUUCGGGUUGUAAACUCCUUUCGCUAGGGACGAAGCUUUUUGUGACGGUACCUAGAUAAGAAGCACCGGCUAACUACGUG